RNAcentral lists this ribosomal RNA (397 nucleotides) under Paenibacillus pabuli. RNAcentral's name for it is "bacterial SSU rRNA". It matches the Rfam family "Bacterial small subunit ribosomal RNA", at positions 399 to 789 of the family's 1533-position model. The record is from RNAcentral. Lineage: Bacteria; Bacillati; Bacillota; Bacilli; Caryophanales; Paenibacillaceae.
GCGUGAGUGAUGAAGGUUUUCGGAUCGUAAAGCUCUGUUGCCAGGGAAGAACGCUUGGGAGAGUAACUGCUCUCAAGGUGACGGUACCUGAGAAGAAAGCCCCGGCUAACUACGUGCCAGCAGCCGCGGUAAUACGUAGGGGGCAAGCGUUGUCCGGAAUUAUUGGGCGUAAAGCGCGCGCAGGCGGUCAUUUAAGUCUGGUGUUUAAUCCCGGGGCUCAACCCCGGAUCGCACUGGAAACUGGGUGACUUGAGUGCAGAAGAGGAGAGUGGAAUUCCACGUGUAGCGGUGAAAUGCGUAGAUAUGUGGAGGAACACCAGUGGCGAAGGCGACUCUCUGGGCUGUAACUGACGCUGAGGCGCGAAAGCGUGGGGAGCAAACAGGAUUAGAUACCCUG